Molecule: ribosomal RNA, 240 nt
Filed under: Ctenophora environmental sample
Lineage: Eukaryota; Metazoa; Ctenophora
Description: partial Bacterial large subunit ribosomal RNA
Rfam family: Bacterial large subunit ribosomal RNA
Source: RNAcentral
GCCAGGCGAUGGUAGUCCUGGUCUAAGCGUGUAGGGCGAGUCAUUGGUAAAUCCGUGGCUCAUAAUGCUUGAGACGUGAUGGGACCCCUUUGGUGGGGGAUUCGGUGAUCCUAUGUUGCCGAGAAAAGCAUCGACGUGAGGUUCUAGUCGCCCGUACCCCAAACCGACACAGGUGAUCAGGUAGAGAAUACUAAGGCGUUCGAGAGAAUCAUGGUUAAGGAACUCGGCAAAAUGCCCCCG